ACUUCAAGCCAUCGACUCACUGAUAAAUGAAGACGAUGAGCGAUCAGCAAAGGCCAUCAGGAAUCUGCUGGCAUCACCGCACAACAUCGCUCAAAUCAGUCAGAAGAAGACAGUUGAAGAAACCUGCAUGGAUUUAUGGAAAGGCUCGGUAUCAUGGCUUGAGAUUUCUUUGAGGAAUAAAUCAGCAAGAGAUAUGUCAGAGAGGUGUUCCUGGGACCACAUCGUUUCUUUCAAGGCCAAAUGUUGUUUUUUUUCUCCAAAUGCAGGCAAUGACCCAAAACACUGCCGCCCGGGUUUGCAUUGCAAAUGAGGGCAUAAACUGGGUCAAGAGUCUCCUGAUUUAGACCCGAUCGAACUUGUUUGGUAUCAACUGAAAACAUUCAUCCGUAACUCUGCCAAGCCGACAAGCAAAGAUCAAGAUGUUUUGGCUUGAGAAAUUGACGAUACAACAACUCAACAAAUACAUUGAUCAUCUGAGCAAGGUUUUACCCGUGGUCCUGGAGCUGGG
Molecule: long non-coding RNA, 508 nt
Organism: Salvelinus namaycush (lake trout)
Lineage: Eukaryota; Metazoa; Chordata; Actinopteri; Salmoniformes; Salmonidae
Exons: 4
Source: RefSeq, a predicted model, not a curated record